GAAAUGCGAUACGUAAUGUGAAUUGCAGAAUUCCGUGAAUCAUCGAAUCUUUGAACGCACCUUGCGCCCCUUGGUAUUCUGAGGGGCAUGCCUGUUUGAGUGUCAUUAAAUUCUCAACUUGACCUCUGCUCUUGGAGUUCAAGCUUGGAUCUGGAGGUUGCUGGCCUUGAGAAAUAAAGGUCAGCUCCUCUGAAAGGCAUUAGCGAUACAGCCCCUCAAAAGGGUUCCCGGCAUUGAUAAUUGUCUAUGUCUAUAGAACCCCUCUAUGAGAGUUUGUUGUUCGCUUACAAAGGUCCUCGAGGGGACAACGUAUCUUUGAUAAUUACCUCAAAUCAGGUAGGACUACCCGCUGAACUUAA
Molecule: unclassified non-coding RNA, 359 nt
Filed under: uncultured Hygrophoraceae
Lineage: Eukaryota; Fungi; Basidiomycota; Agaricomycetes; Agaricales; Hygrophoraceae
Description: sequence contains ITS1
Rfam family: 5.8S ribosomal RNA (bases 1-105)
Source: RNAcentral